Molecule: transfer RNA, 64 nt
Filed under: Ashinkailepas seepiophila
Lineage: Eukaryota; Metazoa; Arthropoda; Thecostraca; Neolepadidae
Description: tRNA-His
Source: RNAcentral
GUCUAAAUAGUUUAUUAAAAUAUAAACUUGUGGCGUUUAAGAUGUAAAAAGUUUACUUUGGGCA